This 51-nucleotide microRNA precursor is filed under the name Loxodonta africana (African savanna elephant). Its description in RNAcentral is "mir-1302 microRNA precursor family". It matches the Rfam family "mir-1302 microRNA precursor family". The record is from Rfam by way of RNAcentral. Lineage: Eukaryota; Metazoa; Chordata; Mammalia; Proboscidea; Elephantidae.
UUUUUAUGUAAGUAUGUCCCAUGCAAUAUUUGGGACAUACUUAUACUAAAA